Molecule: long non-coding RNA, 1352 nt
Organism: Dryobates pubescens (Downy woodpecker)
Lineage: Eukaryota; Metazoa; Chordata; Aves; Piciformes; Picidae
Exons: 3
Source: RefSeq, a predicted model, not a curated record
AAACAAGAGCUUUAUGGCCAAGAGGAGAAAAAAUGUACUAAGAGCAGCCCUAAAAUACAUUUGUAGAUGAACUCUUGAGUCAGUUAUUAACUUAAUGUGUAAAUAAUGGGAAGUAGCUGAAGUAUGCAAGUCUCUCCCCCACAGGCUGGCAGGUACCCAGAGAGGCAGAAGGCUUCACUUGAACGGUUAAGGUGGCACUGGGGGUGUCUCUGACAGCACCUGUACGUGUGCAAGGGGUGUGUGGGAGAGGAAAUGCACUGUUCCCAACCUGGAAAAUAAGGAGCCAAACAAGAGAGUCACAUACUCAACACUGAGAGGAGUGCAGCCUUGAGAUAAAGAGAGAGAGAUCACUGAGAAAAAGUCUGCUUUGCAGGCUUGCCAAAGCUCAGAUGAUAUUAAUACAUCUAAAGAUUUUUUAUUAUUACUUUUUUUUUUAAUGCAAGUCAUCUGUGUGACAAAAAUAUGGUUGUAAAGUUUUUAUCACAGUUAAGCUCCAGCAAGGGAAGUGUGCAGCAGCUCUUCUACAAAGUUAAUCCAAUAAAGCCUUGCACACAAGACAUGAAAUGCUGCCCUAAGAGCUCAUUUUCUCCUGGUAGGCUCUUAACUGCCAUAAUUUGCUGCCAUUUAAGAAAGUAAAGCAGCAGACAUCCCUGCAGCCUCUCUGGGGCCAGCAGCAAGGCAGAUAAGGAAGCUGGCUCAUUAGAGCAGCCCCACCAAAGGGCACCUUGCUGGGAGCAUGGCUUUGCCUUGUCUCCAGCCAGGAACGGGGCUGCAGGUACUGGACAUCUGGGCAUCUUCGUAACGGCAUCAGUCCAGGCAGCAAACCUCAGCAGCUGCUCAGGGGAGCUCCACAACGAGAUGCACUAAUGGAGGACAAGCAGCAACUUCUGGGCUGUGGGAGAGGAGGCACUGGGAAAGUUGAAGGAGCUGCCUGGUCUUACAAGCUGCCUCCAGUGAAAAUCUGCUAAAUGAGAUGCUUUGUGACUGGCACAUUCAGCACUGCAAAGCUCUCCUGUGCCAGCCUCAGGACUUCCAGCAAGCAGCAGGUGCUGCAGCCCACUCUCAAAAAGCCUGCAGUCUUCAAAGGAAGCAAUUUGAGCAGCUUGUCUUGAAGUGCCCAAUGCUCCUUGUUUAUGUGGAGCCCUACAUCAGGCUCAGCCUGUGCAUCCCUACACAAGGUCAACACUUGGUCUGGUGUGACCUUCACACGAGCUUGGGAGGUGCAAGAAGAGGUGCAGCUGAGUGGUGCUAUUUCAUGGAGACUGAGUGGUGCUUGGGAAGAUUAUCCAGGGCAUGUCUAUAUUAGGACUGGUCUGUGAUGGCACCCAGACUGGUCUGCAGCAGAUAGCAAG